Molecule: long non-coding RNA, 836 nt
Organism: Mytilus californianus (California mussel)
Lineage: Eukaryota; Metazoa; Mollusca; Bivalvia; Mytilida; Mytilidae
Exons: 2
Source: RefSeq, a predicted model, not a curated record
UUUUAUUAUAUUUAUUCUCAAAAACAAGUUAUGUUCAUUUAUAAAAUAUAUAACAAUGUCAAUAUGGCAAUCAUCAAUGAGAAAAGAUAAUAAUUUGGUAAAUAUUGAAAAGGGUAGUAAAGGGUUUUUUUUGUGCAACAUCUUUUCCUAUUUCACUUAACAUGCAAGAGGAUCCUUAUUCAACUUCUUAAUUUUAUGCAAUAUAUUCAUUUGCUUUAUGAAAGGGAUAAAAUUAUUUCUCAUUUACCAUUUAUAAACAAUUUUAGUUUCAAUCCUUCUUAAACAUAUUUUUUUCUUUUCACAAUCUAAAUUGUAUAAAAACAAUCACAACAGUUGUGUUCUAAAAAUUCUAGACAAUAUCUUAAUAUUGUUACAAACAAUUUAACUUUAAAUUCAGAAUAAACACAAAAAUGAGACUAAGUUCACAUUUCUUAUUUAAAUAUGUAUGUUUCAUCAAGCAUAUAUUUGACUUCCAUUGAUAAAUUCACACUUCAGUCAAUAUAUUUUAAAGUUUGCAUUAAUAAAUGUGCGUCACAAUUUCUAUAUUCACAGUGCCUGACGAAGCAACAUAAUAUUUUAUGUUAAGUUGUCUACCUGCAAUAACUUGAAAGAGGUUAUUGAUGGGGUGAGCUAAAAAAAGAGAAUAAUGAACUUAAAGUUGGGUUUAGACUAUUAUUUCACAAUUUAUAAGUAUUAGCAUUCACAUUUGAAGAAUAUUUGACAGUCUUAAAAAUAUGAUUAAAACAAUUACAUGUUAACAGUAAAAAUGUAAAUAGCAAUAUCAUAUAUAAUCCUUUGAUAAAACAUUAAAUACAUAAAAUUAAAAAAAAAAUAAA